GACGAACGCUGGCGGCGUGCUUAACACAUGCAAGUCGAACGGAAAGGCCCUGCUUUUGUGGGGUGCUCGAGUGGCGAACGGGUGAGUAACACGUGAGUAACCUGCCCUUGACUUUGGGAUAACUUCAGGAAACUGGGGCUAAUACCGGAUAGGAGCUCCUGCUGCAUGGUGGGGGUUGGAAAGUUUCGGCGGUUGGGGAUGGACUCGCGGCUUAUCAGCUUGUUGGUGGGGUAGUGGCUUACCAAGGCUUUGACGGGUAGCCGGCCUGAGAGGGUGACCGGCCACAUUGGGACUGAGAUACGGCCCAUACUCCGACGGGAGGCAGCAGUGGGGAAUAUUGCACAAUGGGCGGAAGCCUGAUGCAGCAACGCCGCGUGCGGGAUGACGGCCUUCGGGUUGUAAACCGCGUUCGCCUGUGACGAAGCGUGAGUGACGGUAAUGGGUAAAGAAGCACCGGCUAACUACGUG
This 468-nucleotide ribosomal RNA is filed under the name uncultured bacterium. RNAcentral describes it as "partial 16S ribosomal RNA". It matches the Rfam family "Bacterial small subunit ribosomal RNA", at positions 28 to 507 of the family's 1533-position model. The record is from RNAcentral.